This 374-nucleotide unclassified non-coding RNA is filed under the name Hevea brasiliensis (rubber tree). Lineage: Eukaryota; Viridiplantae; Streptophyta; Magnoliopsida; Malpighiales; Euphorbiaceae. The record is from RNAcentral.
AAACGAUGCCCUUGCCGUUUACAGCGCGGUUCGUAGAGCUCGAUCCAUGGCGGUUGCAGAGCAGAUGCCGAUUCUGAUUGAGGCUUUGACUUAUAGAGUUGGACACCAUUCUACCUCCGAUGAUUCAAGUAAGUAUCGCGCCAUUGAUGAGAUUGAGUAUUGGAAAAUGGAGAGGAAUCCUGUGGAUCGCUUUGCUAAAUGGCUUUACAGUAAUCGAUGGUUGAGCCAAGAAGAUGAGUCCAACCACAAAACCACUGUCAAAAAACAGUUGUUGCAAGCAAUUCAGAAUGCAGAGAAAACAAAGAAGCCUCCAGUUUCAGAAUUGUUCAAUGAUGUUUAUGAUCAUUUACCUAAAAACCUUGAAGAACAAGAAG